CUACGGGAGGCAGCAGUGGGGAAUCUUGCACAAUGGGGGAAACCCUGAUGCAGCGACGCCGCGUGAGCGAUGAAGCCCUUCGGGGUGUAAAGCUCUUUCGGCAGGAACGAUAAUGACGGUACCUGCAGAAGAAGCUGCGGCUAACUACGUGCCAGCAGCCGCGGUAAUACGUAGGCAGCGAGCGUUGUUCGGAGUUACUGGGCGUAAAGAGUAUGUAGGCGGUUUUGUAAGUUUGGUGUGAAAUCUCCCGGCUCAACUGGGAGGGUGCGCCGAAAACUGCAAGGCUAGAGUGUGGGAGAGGAAAGCGGAAUUCCUGGUGUAGCGGUGAAAUGCGUAGAUAUCAGGAGGAACACCGGCGGUGUAGACGGCUUUCUGGACCAUUACUGACGCUGAGAUACGAAAGCGUGGGGAGCAAACAGGAUUAGAUACCCUGGUAGG
RNAcentral lists this ribosomal RNA (438 nucleotides) under uncultured bacterium. RNAcentral's name for it is "bacterial SSU rRNA". It matches the Rfam family "Bacterial small subunit ribosomal RNA", at positions 339 to 794 of the family's 1533-position model. The record is from RNAcentral.